Molecule: long non-coding RNA, 937 nt
Filed under: Zonotrichia albicollis (white-throated sparrow)
Lineage: Eukaryota; Metazoa; Chordata; Aves; Passeriformes; Passerellidae
Description: lncRNA (ENSZALG00000018074.1)
Source: RNAcentral
AACCCCGCCCUGGAACCCCGCCCUGGAGCUCCGCCCUCACCCAAGAUGGCCGCGCUGCCCUCAGCCGCCCGCGUGACGCCAGCCGCGCCGCGCGCCGAGGCACGUGACGCCGGUUACCCCGGCAACCGCCGCGGCUUCCCGUGCCCACCCGCUCACCUAGCUCUCCCCCGGCUACGGCGAGCGGCGAGCGGCAGAAAGAGCCGGCGUAGGCGGGGGGCGAAGCGCCCCCUGCCCUUCCCUGCAGAGCCGGGGGCAGCAAGGGUUCGAUCAUCAUUCAGAAUCUGAAGUGGAGGAAUCUGAGGACCACACACCCAUAGUUGAAUCCCCACCAUCACUGGAUGACUUACCUGGCCUGGAAACACCAGCAUCUGCAGCCCAGCCAUCUGUAGUGGAAUUGCCACUAUCUGCAGACCAGCUGGCUGUCAAGAAGCCACCCCAUUCCGAGCACCAUUUCCAGCUCACUGUAUAGUCUGCAUCCAGGGAAAGCUCACCUGAGAUCAGAUCACCUCUGGGUGAACUUCCAGGUUUCAAAGUCAAGAUGCACACCUCUGAAUCCACACAGGAUGGCAGUAACACCGUUGAGGCUGUGUUGUCAGCAGCAGAGAUUGCAUUUGAAUCAUUGGAGAAUCCAGAGGAUUUUGGAGACCCCUAUCAAGUUGCCAUGAAUUAUGUGGAGGAACAUAAAAUUCUACAGCUAUUUCAGGAUAUCACAGAAAAACUGCUGAUCCAUAAGCCUGAUGACCCCUUGCAGUUCAUAUUGCUGGAGGUAGGGUGCCUUGCUGGGGCUCUGUGGGAACAGGGUCAGCUUUGCAGAGCACACCAGAGUCAUGGUCAGCCCAGGACUGUUUCCCUGACUGUGUGUCUGCUGUCUUGGGAGGGAGAAAAGCACAGGCAGCAGCAGAGGGCCUAGGGUGCAAGGACCAUGUGUGCUCUGAGA